RNAcentral lists this ribosomal RNA (253 nucleotides) under uncultured bacterium. Its description in RNAcentral is "partial 16S ribosomal RNA". It matches the Rfam family "Bacterial small subunit ribosomal RNA", at positions 524 to 776 of the family's 1533-position model. The record is from RNAcentral.
UACGGAGGUCUCAAGCGUUGUUCGGAUUCAUUGGGCGUAAAGGGUGUGUAGGUGGCGCCGGAAGUCGGGUGUGAAAUUUCGGAGCUUAACUCCGAAACUGCAUUCGAUACUGCGGUGCUUGAGGACUGGAGAGGAGACUGGAAUUCAUGGUGUAGCAGUGAAAUGCGUAGAGAUCAUGAGGAAGACCAGUGGCGAAGGCGGGUCUCUGGACAGUUACUGACACUGAGACACGAAGGCCAGGGGAGCAAACGGG